This 338-nucleotide ribosomal RNA is filed under the name Amborella trichopoda. Its description in RNAcentral is "rRNA LSU_rRNA_eukarya". It matches the Rfam family "Eukaryotic large subunit ribosomal RNA", at positions 24 to 357 of the family's 3401-position model. Lineage: Eukaryota; Viridiplantae; Streptophyta; Magnoliopsida; Amborellales; Amborellaceae. The record is from Rfam by way of RNAcentral.
AGUGAUGAGAAUAAGCAUAUCGAUAAGCAGAGGAGAAGAUACUUGCUAGGAUUCCCCUAGCAUUGAUGAGCAAAAAGGGUAGUGCCGAACAUGGGAAUCAAGUGGUCGAACUACCCAAAUUGUAGUCUAUAGAAACAUCCUCAGCAGAGGACUUGGCACAUAUCCCUUGGUAGGGGGUUCUAGAGAGGGUGAGAGCCCUGUUGUACCUAGAGCCUGUCGCACUUCAAGACACACUAUCGAUUAGUCGGGUUGUUUGGGAACGAAGCCCUACUCAUGUGCUAAAUUUCGUCCAAGGCUAAAUAUUUGCAAGAGAUAGCUAACGAGCAAGUACCUGAUAG